This 444-nucleotide ribosomal RNA is filed under the name uncultured bacterium. RNAcentral describes it as "bacterial SSU rRNA". It matches the Rfam family "Bacterial small subunit ribosomal RNA", at positions 335 to 773 of the family's 1533-position model. The record is from RNAcentral.
ACUCCUACGGGAGGCAGCAGUGGGGAAUAUUGCACAAUGGGCGCAAGCCUGAUGCAGCCAUGCCGCGUGUAUGAAGAAGGCCUUCGGGUUGUAAAGUACUUUCAGCAGUGAGGAAGGCGGAGUCGUUAAUAGCGGCCUCGUUUGACGUUAGCUGCAGAAGAAGCACCGGCUAACUCCGUGCCAGCAGCCGCGGUAAUACGGAGGGUGCGAGCGUUAAUCGGAAUUACUGGGCGUAAAGCGCAUGCAGGCGGCCUGUUAAGUCAGAUGUGAAAGCCCGGGGCUUAACCUCGGAAUUGCAUUUGAAACUGGCAGGCUAGAGUCUUGUAGAGGGGGGUAGAAUUUCAGGUGUAGCGGUGAAAUGCGUAGAGAUCUGAAGGAAUACCAGUGGCGAAGCGGCCCCCUGGACAAGACUGACGCUCAGAUGCGAAAGCGUGGGGAGCAAAC